Molecule: ribosomal RNA, 281 nt
Filed under: uncultured bacterium
Lineage: Bacteria
Description: partial 16S ribosomal RNA
Rfam family: Bacterial small subunit ribosomal RNA
Source: RNAcentral
ACUCCUACGGGAGGCAGCAGUGGGGAAUAUUGGACAAUGGGGGAACCCGUGCAUCCAGCCAUGCCGCGUGUGUGAAGAAGGCCUUCGGGUUGUAAAGCACUUUCAGUGGGGAGGAAAGGUUGAUGGUUAAUACCUAUCAGCUGUGACGUUACCCACAGAAGAAGCACCGGCUAACUCCGUGCCAGCAGCCGCGGUAAUACGGAGGGUGCAAGCGUUAAUCGGAAUUACUGGGCGUAAAGCGUGCGCAGGCGGUCUGUUAAGCGAGAUGUGAAAGCCCCGGG